CAGCAACCUUUGGGCAGUAAACAGGGGAGGGAAAUUAACCAAAAACAAAGCGAGUAUCAUUAGUCAAGGCUACGUCAUUUGGAAAGAACAUGGAAAAAGGAAUUUAGUUGGGGCAUGAAAAUAGAUUUCAUACCAGCAUAAGGAAGGCAGGGGAAUGGCGGACUCGGCAAGCGGGGUCACCGAGGAGGUCGGUGAAGAUGGAGACUGCGCCACUCUGACUAACCUCGCACGACCUCUCCACUGCCUCAGCUCCGGCGAGAGGCGAUCAAGUGCAGAUAAGCGAGGGAACUACAGUGAGUAUUCGUACUGGUUAUUGAAUGAGUUUUGAAGCGUAAGAACACUAGCAUCAAUACAAGUUGGUUCCUUUCUACUUGUUUCCUCUCUUCUCUGUUUUCUUUGAAGAUUUUGUUACUUCUCUCACUGGUUUUAGCUCACUCGACCUUCCUUCACUUCGAUUUUCUUAAUAGAGUGAGGAGCACAUGGUUGGCUAGGCUUCCUCAAAGGGGAUAUUUAUACCCGUUUCAUUAGGUGUUCAGUUGCCUCUCACUCUCUCUGGAAUCCUCUGAUCUAUUUAUUAUUCUCUCUCUAAGAGUCAAGGAUGAUAUCUAUGUACUUGCCAUGUGAUCCAGUGUUGAUAUGGACGGCCUCAAAAGAAAAAGCGUCGCAGUAUAUACGUUUCGUGUAUUUUUUAUGUAUAAAUACACUAUCAUUUUUUUUU
This is a long non-coding RNA of Dendrobium catenatum, 718 nucleotides long. RefSeq lists it as uncharacterized. The record is from RefSeq and is a predicted model, not a curated record. The transcript is spliced from 2 exons. Lineage: Eukaryota; Viridiplantae; Streptophyta; Magnoliopsida; Asparagales; Orchidaceae.